CCUACGGGAGGCAGCAGUGAGGAAUCUUGGUCAAUGGGCGCUAGCCUGAACCAGCCACGUAGCGUGAAGGAUGACUGCCCUCUGGGUUGUAAACUUCUUUUAUAUGGGAAUAAAGUGCAGUAUGUAUACUGCUUUGCAUGUACCUUAUGAUUAAGGAUCGGCGAACUCCGUGCCAGCAGCCGCGGUAAUACGGAGGGUCCGAGCGUUAUCCGGAUUUAUUGGGUUUAAAGGGAACGUAGGCGGGUUGUUAAGUCAGUUGUGAAAGUUUGCGGCUCAACCGUAACAUUGCAGUUGAUACUGGCAUCCUUGAGUACAGUAGAGGUAGGCGGAAUUCGAGGUGUAGCGGUGAAAUGCUUAGAUAUCACGAAGAACUCCGAUUGCGAAGGCAGCCUGCUGGACUGUAACUGACGCUGAUGCUCGAAAGUGUGGGUAGCAAACAGGAUUAGAUACCCCUGUAGUC
This 460-nucleotide ribosomal RNA is filed under the name uncultured bacterium. RNAcentral describes it as "partial 16S ribosomal RNA". It matches the Rfam family "Bacterial small subunit ribosomal RNA", at positions 338 to 795 of the family's 1533-position model. The record is from RNAcentral.